CAAACCAAAGCUGGCGACCGGCGCACGGGUGAGUAACACGUAUCCAACCUGCCUCAUACUCGGGGAUAGCCUUUCGAAAGAAAGAUUAAUAUCCGAUAGCAUAUAUUUCCCGCAUGGGUUUUAUAUUAAAGAAAUUCGGUUAUAGAUGGGGAUGCGUUCCAUUAGUUUGUUGGGGGGGUAACGGCCCACCAAGACUACGAUGGAUAGGGGUUCUGAGAGGAAGGUCCCCCACAUUGGAACUGAGACACGGUCCAA
This 255-nucleotide ribosomal RNA is filed under the name uncultured bacterium. RNAcentral's name for it is "partial 16S ribosomal RNA". It matches the Rfam family "Bacterial small subunit ribosomal RNA", at positions 74 to 334 of the family's 1533-position model. The record is from RNAcentral.